This 1368-nucleotide ribosomal RNA is filed under the name Triticum aestivum (bread wheat). RNAcentral describes it as "partial small subunit ribosomal RNA". Lineage: Eukaryota; Viridiplantae; Streptophyta; Magnoliopsida; Poales; Poaceae. The record is from RNAcentral.
AUGGAAAGCAUUGAGGUUUUAGCACUGGUAGCCGCUGUGCUCUUCUGCCUAGCCGUCCUCCGGCGAAGCACCAGUCCUGCGGUCCAGCUGAUCAGGGACCCUGCCGUUGCCCACAGCCUCCUUAACGAGCACGCCGACGCUUUCAUGAACCGGCCGUCAGCUGGCCUUCUCACGGCUCUGGCGACCUGGACUCGUGGCCCUCAACGGAACGAGACCUUGGCGACCGUGACCUACGGCUCGCACUGGCGAUCACUCCGGUCCAACCUCACUGCGGGCUUCCUCAACCCCACGCACCUCGCCGCCGUUGCUCCGCUGCGGGCGGAUGCCAUCCAAGACCUUGUCACCGGCCUGUCACAGGCCGGCGGAGAGGAGGUGGUCAUGCGGGAACACCUCGACCGCGCCAUGUUUACGCUGGCCGCGCGGCUGUGCUUCGGCGGCGACCAUGGCCUGCAAGAGAGCGGCGUGCGCGCCAUGCAGCGCGCGAUGGACGACCUCUCGCAGGCCAUGGACGACACGGUCUCCUUCGACGGCUCGACACUGGGCAGGAUCACGCACUGGAGGAGGCUGCGCCGGCUCUUCGGCCUGUUCGCCCCGCUGUGCGAGGUGGUGCGCCCGCUCAUCGCAGCAGCACGGGCAAGGAAGAGCGGCGACUCAUACGUAGACUCGCUCGUGGAGCUCCGCGUGCCGAACCCCGACGUUGACGUCGUCGACGCCAAGCGUGCGCUCACCGACGACGAGAUCCUGGGCCUAGUGGCGGAGUUCCUGGCCACCAACACGGGGGUGAUCGUGGCGUGCAUCGAGUGGACACUCGCGAACCUCGUCAUCCAGCCGGAGGUGCAGAGGAAGCUGCGGUGCGAGAUCGACGAGGCGGUAGCAGCUGGUGGUGGUGAGGCCGAGCUCUCCGAGAAGGCCAUCCGCGACAUGCCGUACCUGCGCGCCGUCGUGCUCGAGAGCGUGCGCAUCCACCCACCUUCGCCUUUCGUCACGCGCGGCGUCCACGACGUCGCCACCGGCAGGCUGAGAAAGAGGCUCAUCUUCAUGGUGCGGGAAAUCGGGAGGCACGGGAGCGCGUGGACGGAGCCCGGCCAGUUCAAUCCGGAGCGGUUCCUGCCGGGCGGCGAGGCGGAGGACGUCGGCCACAUGCCGGGGCGGAACGAGAUCAGGAUGAUGCCGUUCGGAGGCGGGAGGAGGUUCUGCCCGGGCUCCAAUCUGGCGAUUCUGCAGGCCAAGUUCUUCCUGGUGGCGCUCCUGCGCAACUUUGAGCUGGCGCCGCCCAGCAGCGGCGUGGACCUGACGGAGGUGGGCGACUUCAACAACGUGAUGAAGAAGCCGCUGCGUGUGCGCGUCACUCCGCGCAAGUUGCCCUAG